CGCGGGGUGGAGCAGCCUAAUAGCUCGUCGGGCUCAUAACCCGAAGGUCGUCGGUUCAAAUCCGGCCCCCGCAACCA
RNAcentral lists this transfer RNA (77 nucleotides) under Salmonella enterica. RNAcentral describes it as "tRNA-Met". It matches the Rfam family "tRNA". From Rfam's summary of the family: Transfer RNA (tRNA) molecules are approximately 80 nucleotides in length. Their secondary structure includes four short double-helical elements and three loops (D, anti-codon, and T loops). Lineage: Bacteria; Pseudomonadati; Pseudomonadota; Gammaproteobacteria; Enterobacterales; Enterobacteriaceae. RNAcentral also lists the same sequence under 4 other names. The record is from RNAcentral.